Molecule: ribosomal RNA, 406 nt
Filed under: uncultured bacterium
Lineage: Bacteria
Description: partial 16S ribosomal RNA
Rfam family: Bacterial small subunit ribosomal RNA
Source: RNAcentral
AUUGAACGCUGGCGGCAGGCCUAACACAUGCAAGUCGAACGAGUGGCGGACGGGUGAGUAAUGUCUGGGAAACUGCCCGAUGGAGGGGGAUCACUACUGGAAACGGUAGCUAAUACCGCAUACCAUCGGAUGUUCCCAGAUGGGAUUAGCUAGUGGGUGGGGUAACGGCUCACCUAGGCGACGAUCCCUAGCCGGUCUGAGAGGAUGACCAGCCACACUGGGACUGAGACACGGUCCAGACUCCUACGGGAGGCAGCAGUGGGGAAUAUUGCGCAAUGGGCGCAAGCCUGAUGCAGCCAUGCCGCGUGUGUGAAGAAGGCCUUCGGGUUGUAAAGCACUUUCAGCGAGGAGGCGGUACCCGCAGAAGAAGCACCGGCUAACUCCGUGCCAGCAGCCGCGGUAAUAC